AGCAGUCGCCGCGGUAAUACGUAGGUGGCGAGCGUUGUCCGGAAUUAUUGGCGUAAAGGGAGCGCAGGCGGACAUAUAAGUCCAUCUUAAAAGUGCGGGGCUCAACCCCGUGAGGGGAUGGAAACUGUAUGCCUUGAGUGCAGGAGAGGAAAGCGGAAUUCCCAGUGUAGCGGUGAAAUGCGUAGAUAUUGGGAGGAACACCAGUGGCGAAGGCGGCUUUCUGGACUGUAACUGACGCUGAGGCUCGAAAGCCAGGGGGGCGAACGGGAUUAGAUACCCCCGUAGUCCCUGUCUCUUAUACAC
RNAcentral lists this ribosomal RNA (303 nucleotides) under uncultured bacterium. Its description in RNAcentral is "partial 16S ribosomal RNA". It matches the Rfam family "Bacterial small subunit ribosomal RNA", at positions 507 to 810 of the family's 1533-position model. The record is from RNAcentral.